RNAcentral lists this ribosomal RNA (292 nucleotides) under uncultured bacterium. Its description in RNAcentral is "partial 16S ribosomal RNA". It matches the Rfam family "Bacterial small subunit ribosomal RNA", at positions 505 to 796 of the family's 1533-position model. The record is from RNAcentral.
GUGUCAGCAGCCGCGGUAAUACAGAGAGUGCAAACGUUGUUCGGAAUUACUGGGCUUAAAGCGCACGUAGGCGGUGUCGUAAGUGUCAGGUGAAAUCCCACGGCUCACCCGUGGAACUGCCUGGCAUACUGCGAUACUCGAGUGUGGUAGGGGAGAGCGGAACUCCUGGUGGAGCGGUGAAAUGCGUAGAUAUCAGGAGGAACACCGGUGGCGAAGGCGGCUCUCUGGUCCACAACUGACGCUGAGGUGCGAAAGCUAGGGGAGCAAACGGGAUUAGAAACCCUAGUAGUCC